GCGCCCGUAGCUCAGCUGGAUAGAGUGCUAGGCUACGAACCUAGAGGUCGGGGGUUCGAAUCCUCCCGGGCGCGCCA
This 77-nucleotide transfer RNA is filed under the name Gammaproteobacteria bacterium. Its description in RNAcentral is "tRNA-Arg". It matches the Rfam family "tRNA". Rfam says of the family: Transfer RNA (tRNA) molecules are approximately 80 nucleotides in length. Their secondary structure includes four short double-helical elements and three loops (D, anti-codon, and T loops). The record is from RNAcentral. Lineage: Bacteria; Pseudomonadati; Pseudomonadota; Gammaproteobacteria.